UAGUAAAAUUCUAUUUCUGCCCUUUUUGGU
Molecule: non-coding RNA, 30 nt
Filed under: Rattus norvegicus (Norway rat)
Lineage: Eukaryota; Metazoa; Chordata; Mammalia; Rodentia; Muridae
Source: RNAcentral